UUCUGAUCUUGUCAGGUAAUCACGCUGAUUUGCCUGUCACAUUGAAGUGGUAUGCCUCUGUGUUCUGAUAUGUCGAGGCAAUAAAACACACAUGUUCCUUGGAGCCAUCAAGCUAUGAUUGCUCUUGUAGUGAGUGUAGCCUGUUGUACACUUGGCCCGAGUGCUAGCCAGUGUUACGAUUGAGCCGCAUUUGCGUUUGCUCCACAUGGAUAAACUUCAUCGGUACCUAUUUAUCUCCUCUCUAUAUCCGGUCAGGUACACACACUACUACUAAGGAUUUCAGUAUUGGGACUUCAUACUGCACAUGGACUCAUAGAGCAAACCAUGUGUUAAUGCUAGGCUGUCGAUGUAGUGGGAAGAAAGCUGAUGGAAAGUGCUCUCAUGCUGAGAGAUAUGAAAGAUGAAUUGUCCUGCAGCCUGUAAACAGUUUGAGAUUCUAUAAUUUUUGUGUGAUUUGAUGGGUUUGGGAUUUUUGUUUCCAGUAGCUGAUGUGCAUGUGUACAGUGGGGCUAAUUAAGCCGUGCCCGCACAUAUUGAUCAACUAGAUCAUGAAUGGCGCGUGUUGCUGCACUCAUCUGUUUUA
Molecule: long non-coding RNA, 583 nt
Filed under: Hordeum vulgare
Lineage: Eukaryota; Viridiplantae; Streptophyta; Magnoliopsida; Poales; Poaceae
Description: long non-coding RNA (HVUL_LNC014123)
Source: RNAcentral